RNAcentral lists this small nucleolar RNA (117 nucleotides) under Microtus ochrogaster (prairie vole). RNAcentral's name for it is "Small nucleolar RNA SNORA51 (ENSMOCG00000006077.1)". It matches the Rfam family "Small nucleolar RNA SNORA51". Rfam says of the family: ACA51 is a member of the H/ACA class of snoRNA that guide the sites of modification of uridines to pseudouridines. The record is from RNAcentral. Lineage: Eukaryota; Metazoa; Chordata; Mammalia; Rodentia; Cricetidae.
GGCCUCCUCAUCCUCAAGGGCGGGCCGCUUUCCUAUUCUGUGUAUAUAGAAAGAGGGGGCAGAGUAAACCUACCCCAGUCCAGGCUACUGUUCCUAGUCUGUGGAUGGGAGACCUUG